AGUGAACGCUGGCGGUAGGCCUAACACAUGCAAGUCGAACGGCAGCACAGUAAGAGCUUGCUCUUACGGGUGGCGAGUGGCGGACGGGUGAGGAAUACAUCGGAAUCUACUUUUUCGUGGGGGAUAACGUAGGGAAACUUACGCUAAUACCGCAUACGACCUACGGGUGAAAGCAGGGGAUCUUCGGACCUUGCGCGAUUGAAUGAGCCGAUGUCGGAUUAGCUAGUUGGCGGGGUAAAGGCCCACCAAGGCGACGAUCCGUAGCUGGUCUGAGAGGAUGAUCAGCCACACUGGAACUGAGACACGGUCCAGACUCCUACGGGAGGCAGCAGUGGGGAAUAUUGGACAAUGGGCGCAAGCCUGAUCCAGCCAUACCGCGUGGGUGAAGAAGGCCUUCGGGUUGUAAAGCCCUUUUGUUGGGGAAGAAAAGCAGCAGGUUAAUACCCCGCUAUUCUGACGGUACCCAAAGAAUAAGCACCGGCUAACUUCGUG
RNAcentral lists this ribosomal RNA (492 nucleotides) under uncultured bacterium. Its description in RNAcentral is "partial 16S ribosomal RNA". It matches the Rfam family "Bacterial small subunit ribosomal RNA", at positions 29 to 507 of the family's 1533-position model. The record is from RNAcentral.